RNAcentral lists this ribosomal RNA (253 nucleotides) under uncultured bacterium. RNAcentral describes it as "partial 16S ribosomal RNA". It matches the Rfam family "Bacterial small subunit ribosomal RNA", at positions 524 to 776 of the family's 1533-position model. The record is from RNAcentral.
UACGGGGGGAGCAAGCGUUGUUCGGAUUUACUGGGCGUAAAGGGCGCGUAGGCGGCACCGCAAGUCGACUGUGAAAUCUCCGGGCUUAACUCGGAAAGGUCAGCCGAUACUGCGGGGCUAGAGUGCAGAAGGGGCAACUGGAAUUCUCGGUGUAGCAGUGAAAUGCGUAGAUAUCGAGAGGAACACCAGUGGCGAAGGCGAGUCUCUGGACAUUUCCUGACGCUGAGGCACGAAAGCCAGGGGAGCAAACGGG